GGCAGUCCCACAAACUGGAAGGCAGAAGCCAGAGGAAAUAUACAAGAUGAAACAAGAGCCGAGGUGUCCUGCUUAUGAAUAAAGAUGGAGAAUUGUUCUGGUAUAUAUUGGUGUGCAAGAAACACACAGGGUUCUUCUUUGAGGAAGCAAGUUGACAGAAUACUUGAUCAUGAGAGGAAAGGUGACCCCACUGCAGGCGAGGCUGUAACCAUGGUAGCCGUUGCAGAAGAAGAAAAUAAAACACGUUUUGCUGUUACUGUAGGAGGCAGAAAUGGACUCUGUAAUGAAUGUUUCAAGCCCAGGAUUGUAGAC
Pelodiscus sinensis (Chinese soft-shelled turtle) is the source of this 312-nucleotide non-coding RNA. NCBI's taxonomy places the organism in Eukaryota, Metazoa, Chordata, Testudines, Trionychidae. The record is from RefSeq and is a predicted model, not a curated record.